GUGUCAGCCGCCGCGGUAAUACGUAGGGUGCGAGCGUUAAUCGGAAUUACUGGGCGUAAAGCGUGCGCAGGCGGUUUUGAAAGUCAGAUGUGAAAUCCCCGAGCUCAACUUGGGAACUGCGUUUGAAACUCCAAAGCUAGGGUAUAGGAGAGGGGGGUAGAAUUCCACGUGUAGCAGUGAAAUGCGUAGAGAUGUGGAGGAAUACCGAUGGCGAAGGCAGCCCCCUGGGAUAACACUGACGCUCAUGCACGAAAGCGUGGGGAGCAAACAGGAUUAGAUACCCCCGUAGUCC
RNAcentral lists this ribosomal RNA (292 nucleotides) under uncultured Methylophilaceae bacterium. RNAcentral's name for it is "partial 16S ribosomal RNA". It matches the Rfam family "Bacterial small subunit ribosomal RNA", at positions 505 to 796 of the family's 1533-position model. The record is from RNAcentral. Lineage: Bacteria; Pseudomonadati; Pseudomonadota; Betaproteobacteria; Nitrosomonadales; Methylophilaceae.